RNAcentral lists this transfer RNA (76 nucleotides) under Methylibium sp. RNAcentral describes it as "tRNA-Lys". It matches the Rfam family "tRNA". From Rfam's summary of the family: Transfer RNA (tRNA) molecules are approximately 80 nucleotides in length. Their secondary structure includes four short double-helical elements and three loops (D, anti-codon, and T loops). The record is from RNAcentral. RNAcentral also lists the same sequence under 1 other name. Lineage: Bacteria; Pseudomonadati; Pseudomonadota; Betaproteobacteria; Burkholderiales; Sphaerotilaceae.
GGGUUGUUAGCUCAGUCGGUAGAGCAGCGGACUUUUAAUCCGUAGGUCGCGUGUUCGAGUCACGCACAACCCACCA